GUUGAACGCUGGCGGCAGGCUUAACACAUGCAAGUCGAGCGGGGUGAUGGUGCUUGCACUAUCACUUAGCGGCGGACGGGUGAGUAAUGCUUAGGAAUCUGCCUAUUAGUGGGGGACAACAUCUCGAAAGGGAUGCUAAUACCGCAUACGUCCUACGGGAGAAAGCAGGGGAUCACUUGUGACCUUGCGCUAAUAGAUGAGCCUAAGGCGGAUUAGCUAGUUGGUGGGGUAAAGGCCUACCAAGGCGACGAUCUGUAGCGGGUCUGAGAGGAUGAUCCGCCACACUGGGACUGAGACACGGCCCAGACUCCUACGGGAGGCAGCAGUGGGGAAUAUUGGACGAUGGGGGGAACCCUGAUCCAGCCAUGCCGCGUGUGUGAAGAAGGCCUUAUGGUUGUAAAGCACUUUAAGCGAGGAGGAGGCUCUUUUGGUUAAUACCCAAGAUGAGUGGACGUUACUCGCAGAAUAAGCACCGGCUAACUCUGUGCCAGCAGCCGCAGUAA
RNAcentral lists this ribosomal RNA (503 nucleotides) under uncultured bacterium. RNAcentral describes it as "partial 16S ribosomal RNA". It matches the Rfam family "Bacterial small subunit ribosomal RNA", at positions 28 to 523 of the family's 1533-position model. The record is from RNAcentral.